UACGGGAGGCAGCAGUGGGGAAUAUUGGACAAUGGGCGCAAGCCUGAUCCAGCAAUGCCGCGUGAGUGAAGAAGGCCUUAGGGUUGUAAAGCUCUUUCGGCGGGGACGAAAAGGUGCGUGCUAACACCAUGCAUCCAUGACGGUACCCGUAGAAGAAGCACCGGCUAACUACGUGCCAGCAGCCGCGGUAAUACGUAGGGUGCAGGCGUUAAUCGGAAUUACUGGGCGUAAAGCGUGCGCAGGCGGUUUGCUAAGACAGGUGUGAAAUCCCCGGGCUUAACCUGGGAACUGCGCUUGUUACUGGCAGGCUUGAGUGUGGCAGAGGGGGGUGGAAUUCCACGUGUAGCAGUGAAAUGCGUAGAGAUGUGGAGGAACACCGAUGGCGAAGGCAGCCCCCUGGGCUAACACUGACGCUCAUGCACGAAAGCGUGGGGAGCAAACAGGAUUAGAUACCCUGGUAG
RNAcentral lists this ribosomal RNA (461 nucleotides) under uncultured beta proteobacterium. RNAcentral's name for it is "bacterial SSU rRNA". It matches the Rfam family "Bacterial small subunit ribosomal RNA", at positions 340 to 793 of the family's 1533-position model. The record is from RNAcentral. Lineage: Bacteria; Pseudomonadati; Pseudomonadota; Betaproteobacteria.